AGGGGUCUCGUUGGUGACCAGCGGAGGGUCAUUACCGAGUUUACAACUCCCAAACCCAAUGUGAACGUUACCAAACUGUUGCCUCGGCGGGAUCUCUGCCCCGGGUGCGUCGCAGCCCCGGACCAAGGCGCCCGCCGGAGGACCAACCAAAACUCUUAUUGUAUACCCCCUCGCGGGUUUUUUACUAUCUGAGCCAUCUCGGCGCCCCUCGUGGGCGUUUCGAAAAUGAAUCAAAACUUUCAACAACGGAUCUCUUGGUUCUGGCAUCGAUGAAGAACGCAGCGAAAUGCGAUAAGUAAUGUGAAUUGCAGAAUUCAGUGAAUCAUCGAAUCUUUGAACGCACAUUGCGCCCGCCAGUAUUCUGGCGGGCAUGCCUGUCCGAGCGUCAUUUCAACCCUCGAACCCCUCCGGGGGGUCGGCGUUGGGGAUCGGCCCUUUACGGGGCCGGCCCCGAAAUACAGUGGCGGUCUCGCCGCAGCCUCUCCUGCGCAGUAGUUUGCACACUCGCAUCGGGAGCGCGGCGCGUCCACAGCCGUUAAACACCCCAAACUUCUGAAAUGUUGACCUCGGAUCAGGUAGGAAUACCCGCUGAACUUAAGCAUAUCAAUAAGCGGAGGA
RNAcentral lists this ribosomal RNA (618 nucleotides) under Trichoderma virens. RNAcentral describes it as "eukaryotic LSU rRNA". The stretch from base 235 to 388 matches the Rfam family "5.8S ribosomal RNA". The record is from RNAcentral. Lineage: Eukaryota; Fungi; Ascomycota; Sordariomycetes; Hypocreales; Hypocreaceae.